UGAUGGCGGGAUGCUUGAAACCGUGUAGUCAAUUGAUAUGAACCUAGGCUGGUCUAGUGUUCUAUACCAAUCAUGAGAAGCAACACGCUCUUGGCAAUUGGGAUUGUUUAAAGUCAGCGAUGUCUUCGCCAUUAGAGCCAUCCGUCCUUGAAUAUGCACGAUUCCAUAACAUCGCUACUAGCGGCGUACAAGACCCACUCCUCCUGGUCCCACCAGUGAUUGAAGACAUAAACUUAUCUCUCCGUGACACGCCAAACUUUCCUUCCAUUGACUUAGAAACCAUUCAAAGUGAAAUACGGACCGGAACAAGGGAAAAGGUUGAUGCGAGCU
This 330-nucleotide small RNA is filed under the name Histoplasma capsulatum var. duboisii H88. RNAcentral's name for it is "Histoplasma capsulatum H88 hypothetical RNA". The record is from RNAcentral. Lineage: Eukaryota; Fungi; Ascomycota; Eurotiomycetes; Onygenales; Ajellomycetaceae.